Molecule: unclassified non-coding RNA, 205 nt
Filed under: soil metagenome
Description: partial contains 5.8S ribosomal RNA, internal transcribed spacer 2, and large subunit ribosomal RNA
Source: RNAcentral
AACACUGUUAACCUGCGGUACCUGCGGAGGGAUCAUUACCGAGUUUACAACUCCCAAACCCCUGUGAACAUACCUAUACGUUGCCUCGGCGGAUCAGCCCGCGCCCCGUAAAACGGGACGGCCCGCCCGAGGACCCUAAACUCUGUUUUUAGUGGAACUUCUGAGUAAAACAAACAAAUAAAUCAAAACUUUCAGCAAUGGAUCU